UACGUAGGGGGCGAGCGUUGUCCGGAUUUAUUGGGCGUAAAGAGCUCGUAGGCGGUUCGAUAAGUCGGACGUGAAAUCUCCACGCUCAACGUGGAGGGGCCGUUCGAUACUGUCGUGACUCAAGUCCGGUAGGGGAGUGUGGAAUUCCCGGUGUAGCGGUGAAAUGCGCAGAGAUCGGGAGGAACACCCGUAGCGAAGGCGGCACUCUGGGCCGGUACUGACGCUGAGGAGCGAAAGCGUGGGGAGCAAACAGG
RNAcentral lists this ribosomal RNA (254 nucleotides) under uncultured bacterium. Its description in RNAcentral is "partial 16S ribosomal RNA". It matches the Rfam family "Bacterial small subunit ribosomal RNA", at positions 524 to 776 of the family's 1533-position model. The record is from RNAcentral.